This 269-nucleotide long non-coding RNA is filed under the name Carica papaya (papaya). RNAcentral's name for it is "long non-coding RNA (CPAP_LNC014522)". The record is from RNAcentral. Lineage: Eukaryota; Viridiplantae; Streptophyta; Magnoliopsida; Brassicales; Caricaceae.
UUUUUUGUGUUAUUACAAAUAAUGAGUAGUAAUAGCAGUAGCGGUAGUAGCAAUAGUUGUAACAAUAUUAGAAGUAGUAGUAGUAGUAGUGGUAAUAACAGUAGUAACAAUAGUAAAAAUAGUACCAGUAGUAGUAGUAGUAGUAAUAGCGGCUUUAGCAGUUGUAGCAGUAGUAGCAAUAAUAGAAGUAACAGUAACAGUAGCAAUAGUAGAAGUAUUAGUAGUAAUAGUAGUAUUAGUAAUAGUAAUAGUAGUAAUAGUAGUAAUAG